GUACUCAUACACACCAGAACACACACAACCACCACCACACGGUGGCUGAUGGCGACGGGAGAUGGCAGCGGUGGCAGCCACCAUGGCUGGCGGCCAUGGUGGUUGUUGUUCUUGGUUUCUGGCCCACAACAUACAAAAACACUUCACGGUGAAGCAGCAACACCUUAACGCGAGCCCAUGCACCAUACGAGUGCAGCUGGUCCCUUCUAAUGGCAGCAAAUCUCGACCGGAGCACUGAAAUAGAAGAUUGCUCGAAAGAUGGCAGUGGCAGCGACUAGCUACUGUGGAAUGGAGUCGUAGUCGAAGACAGUUGGGAAAGUACCGACAAUAGACUCGGUGGCUACGGGUGGUGACAUAAAGAAUGAGAAGGAGAACAGUGGAGGUGUGGCGGCAAUGACGGUUGGGCUUCAACAGUUAACAACAACAACCAUUCCUCCGAAUGUCGUACUCUCUUUCUGACGUAGAAAGGGGUUGGCUCCGACAGUCUCCAUCUUCAAUGGUACUAGGGUUUUAUUAGGCCCACUAGGGUUUCAUAAAUCGGGCACCACCCACUACCACCUCGGGUAGUGGUGGUCAAUGACGGCUCACGGCGGCAGCCACCACCCCACUGUGGUGGUUAUGGUUCUAGUCCAUUUGUUCAAGCAUCCCAAAAAAAAAUCCAAACACAAACAAGCACACCGCCACCCAACACAGCGGUUGGUGGCAGCAGCCACCACCUCACGGUGGUGGUUAUGAGUUUCUUUUCAUUAUUCUAAUCUCUAAUUACAUUUUACAAUGCUUUAACCCAAAAAAAUAAACACACACACUAAUAGAAAAACACACACAACCACCCUUGUGGUGGCCGACGGUGGUAGAUGGUGGCAGCCACCACCUCACGGUGGUGGUGGUAGCUUUUCUCGGUUUUCCGGUCAAACAAAACACCCCAAAUGUACUCAUACACACCAGAACACACACAACCACCACCACACGGUGGCUGAUGGCGACGGGAGAUGGCAGCGGUGGCAGCCACCAUGGCUGGCGGCCAUGGUGGUUGUUGUUCUUGGUUUCUGGCCCACAACAUACAAAAACACUUCACGGUGAAGCAGCAACACCUUAACGCGAGCCCAUGCACCAUACGAGUGCAGCUGGUCCCUUCUAAUGGCAGCAAAUCUCGACCGGAGCACUGAAAUAGAAGAUUGCUCGAAAGAUGGCAGUGGCAGCAACUAGCUACUGUGGAAUGGAGUCGUAGUCGAAGACAGUUGGGAAAGUACCGACAAUAGACUCGGUGGCUACGGGUGGUGACAUAAAGAAUGAGAAGGAGAACAGUGGAGGUGUGGCGGCAAUGACGGUUGGGCUUCAACAGUUAACAACAACAACCAUUCCUCCGAAUGUCGUACUCUCUUUCUGACGUAGAAAGGGGUUGGCUCCGACAGUCUCCAUCUUCAAUGGUACUAGGGUUUUAUUAGGCCCACUAGGGUUUCAU
RNAcentral lists this long non-coding RNA (1462 nucleotides) under Lactuca sativa (garden lettuce). RNAcentral describes it as "long non-coding RNA (LSAT_LNC003410)". Lineage: Eukaryota; Viridiplantae; Streptophyta; Magnoliopsida; Asterales; Asteraceae. The record is from RNAcentral.